RNAcentral lists this non-coding RNA (101 nucleotides) under Candidatus Margulisiibacteriota. RNAcentral describes it as "Candidatus Margulisbacteria SAM-I sequence". It matches the Rfam family "SAM riboswitch aptamer (S box leader)". From Rfam's summary of the family: The SAM riboswitch is found upstream of a number of genes which code for proteins involved in methionine or cysteine biosynthesis in Gram-positive bacteria. The SAM riboswitch acts at the level of transcription termination control. The record is from RNAcentral. Lineage: Bacteria; Bacillati.
AUCUUAUCGAGAGUGGUGGAGGGACAGGCCCGAAGAAACCACGGCAACCUUGUUUAGUAACAGGUGCCAAAUCCUGAGCAGUGUAACUGCGAAGAUAAGAA